AUUGAACGCUGGCGGCAGGCCUAACACAUGCAAGUCGAAUGGUAACAGGAAACAGCUUGCUGUUUCGCUGACGAGUGGCGGACGGGUGAGUAAUGUCUGGGAAACUGCCUGAUGGAGGGGGAUAACUACUGGAAACGGUAGCUAAUACCGCAUAACGUCGCAAGACCAAAGAGGGGGACCUUCGGGCCUCUUGCCAUCAGAUGUGCCAGAUGGGAUUAGCUAGUAGGUGGGUAACGGCUCACCUAGGCGACGAUCCCUAGCUGGUCUGAGAGGAUGACCAGCCACACUGGAACUGAGACACGGUCCAGACUCCUACGGGAGGCAGCAGUGGGGAAUAUUGCACAAUGGGCGCAAGCCUGACGCAGCCAUGCCGCGUGUAUGAAGAAGGCCUCGGUUGGUUAAAGUAACGUUUUAC
RNAcentral lists this ribosomal RNA (415 nucleotides) under uncultured bacterium. RNAcentral describes it as "bacterial SSU rRNA". It matches the Rfam family "Bacterial small subunit ribosomal RNA", at positions 30 to 441 of the family's 1533-position model. The record is from RNAcentral.